AGACCAGACUCAAAAUCAGAGGCAAAAGCUAGUACAAAAUCAGAAUCGAAAGCAGGGUGAUGGUGAAAAAGUACGACCAGUGUUUGGAGAACAGGCCAAUGAUCUUUUGUUAUGGGAUUCAGACUGUAGUGAGAAUUAUAGUUUGUUUUUGCUGGUAAUAAUGCACUGAAGGACCUUGAUUUGCAUGGCUAUUUCUGGCAUCCCUUCCAUAUAUUUUGGUGAACAUUGUUGUAUAAUGGUUGUUGCAUCUU
RNAcentral lists this unclassified non-coding RNA (251 nucleotides) under Hevea brasiliensis (rubber tree). Lineage: Eukaryota; Viridiplantae; Streptophyta; Magnoliopsida; Malpighiales; Euphorbiaceae. The record is from RNAcentral.